RNAcentral lists this long non-coding RNA (225 nucleotides) under Nicotiana benthamiana. RNAcentral's name for it is "long non-coding RNA (NBEN_LNC000754)". The record is from RNAcentral. Lineage: Eukaryota; Viridiplantae; Streptophyta; Magnoliopsida; Solanales; Solanaceae.
ACUGCUCCAUAACUGGGAGUGCGUAAAUAAAAUAUGUUCUAUGAUAUGCCUUAACAUGAAGGUAUACUUUUUUAUCAUAUCAUUUUUAUGGUUAAUUUCGUCCAAUGAUGUCUAAUGAUAUUUAUUAUCUUAUCCUCUGUAGGUAACUAAGGUUGCUCCUGCUCUAUGAUAUGCCUUAACAUGAAGGCGUUUGUUACCUUCAUUUGCUCUUUCUCUCUAUCCUUU